UACGGAGGGAGCUAGCGUUAUUCGGAAUUACUGGGCGUAAAGCGCACGUAGGCGGCUUUGCAAGUUAGAGGUGAAAGCCUGGAGCUCAACUCCAGAACUGCCUUUAAAACUGCAUCGCUUGAAUCCAGGAGAGGUGAGUGGAAUUCCGAAGUGUAGAGGUGAAAUUCGUAGAUAUUCGGAAGAACACCAGUGGCGAAGGGCGGCUCACUGGA
RNAcentral lists this ribosomal RNA (212 nucleotides) under uncultured bacterium. Its description in RNAcentral is "partial 16S ribosomal RNA". It matches the Rfam family "Bacterial small subunit ribosomal RNA", at positions 524 to 733 of the family's 1533-position model. The record is from RNAcentral.